AUGCUUGCUUCUUCUUCAUUAUUAAUUCUGAAAUUUAUUUUUGCAAUGAGUGAACUAACCAAUUUUGGCUCAGAUAUCUUGUGUAUUCCCCAGCUUGGUAGAUGUGUUAUUAUUUGUGUUGAGCACUGUUUGUCCAUGACAGAUGGUUUUAAGCAAAUAAACAGACUUGAGCUGAAGAGUAAAACAACAGAUAUAAAAAAGCGUGAGAAUGAAGGAAGAAAAGAAAGAAAGGAAGGAAGGAAGGAAGGAAGGAAGGAAGGAAGAAAGAAAGAAAGAAAGAAAGAAAGAAAGAAAGAAAGAAAGAAAGAUGGAAGCAAAGCCCUAUGUGUCAGGCUUCCGAGGAUCCAGCCCCCAUGGCAGGUUGCACCUGUGAUGCUGAUGCUGGAGAAGUGGACGGGAGAUGGCAAUGUGUACACUGGGCACACCUUGAGCCGAUGGAGACACUGGCCGCCUGCCGGAGGAGGUGGAAGACGUUGGUGAGCCACAAUUGCUGUACUUCCUUUCGCCAUAGAAGAAGAAGAAGAGGAGGAGGAGGAGGAGGAGGAGGAGGAGGAGGAGGAGGAGGAGUUUGGAUUUGAUAUCCCGCUUUAUCACUACCCUAAGGAGUCUCAAAGCGGCUAACAAUCUCCUUUUCCCUUCCUCCCCCACAACAAACACUCUGUGAGGUGAGUGAGGCUGAGAGACUUCAGAGAAGUGUGACUAGCCCAACGUCACCCAGAAGCUGCAUGUGGAGGAGGGGAGACGCAAACCCGGUUCACCAGAUUAUAAGUCUACCGCUCUUAACCACUACACCACACUGGCUCUUGUUCGACAGUGGCGGGUUCUGCAAUUGCCAGGCGGGCUGGGUUCAGGGCCCUGGCAGGCCAGAUCUGGCCCACAGACCGUAGUUUGAGGACCCCUGGUAUAAAGUGUUCACAGAAGCAAGGGGAAGAGCAAUGCUAUUGGGCUUUUAUUUUGUGGAUUUGUUUCCCCAGGAUUGCAUAAAUGUGUACAUAUAAAUUCC
Molecule: long non-coding RNA, 1003 nt
Filed under: Podarcis muralis (Common wall lizard)
Lineage: Eukaryota; Metazoa; Chordata; Lepidosauria; Squamata; Lacertidae
Description: lncRNA (ENSPMRG00000017518.1)
Source: RNAcentral